AUCCAGACUCCUACGGGAGGCAGCAGUGAGGAAUAUUGGUCAAUGGACGAGAGUCUGAACCAGCCAAGUCGCGUGAGGGAAGACUGCCCUAUGGGUUGUAAACCUCUUUUGUCAGGGAGCAAUUGGCGCUACGUGUAGCGUUAUCGAGAGUACCUGAAGAAAAAGCAUCGGCUAACUCCGUGCCAGCAGCCGCGGUAAUACGGAGGAUGCGAGCGUUAUCCGGAUUUAUUGGGUUUAAAGGGUGCGUAGGCGGAAUGCCAAGUCAGCGGUAAAAUCGCGGGGCUCAACCUCGCUCCGCCGUUGAAACUGGCGUUCUUGAGUGGGCGAGAAGUAUGCGGAAUGCGUGGUGUAGCGGUGAAAUGCAUAGAUAUCACGCAGAACUCCGAUUGCGAAGGCAGCAUACCGGCGCCCAACUGACGCUGAAGCACGAAAGCGUGGGUAUCGAACAGGAUUAGAUACCCUUGUAC
This 467-nucleotide ribosomal RNA is filed under the name uncultured bacterium. RNAcentral's name for it is "partial 16S ribosomal RNA". It matches the Rfam family "Bacterial small subunit ribosomal RNA", at positions 329 to 793 of the family's 1533-position model. The record is from RNAcentral.